UUACUUCCCUGAGGGGUGUGCUUGAGAACACAGGCGCAUCUGGCUUUUGAUUAGGCUAAUCUAUGUGCACUUAUGUUCUCAGGUCACCCCUUUGGGAUCUCC
This 102-nucleotide microRNA precursor is filed under the name Nicotiana sylvestris (wood tobacco). RNAcentral's name for it is "MIR398 microRNA precursor family". It matches the Rfam family "MIR398 microRNA precursor family". RNAcentral also lists the same sequence under 1 other name. Lineage: Eukaryota; Viridiplantae; Streptophyta; Magnoliopsida; Solanales; Solanaceae. The record is from Rfam by way of RNAcentral.